CAGCAGUCGCCGCGGUAAUACGUAGGGACCAAGCGUUGUUCGGAUUUACUGGGCGUAAAGGGCGCGUAGGCGGCAAUUCAAGUCAUCUGUGAAAUCUCCGGGCUUAACUCGGAACGGUCAGAUGAUACUGCUUUGCUAGAGUACAGAAGGGGCAAUCGGAAUUCUUGGUGUAGCGGUGAAAUGCGUAGAUAUCAAGGGGAACACUUGAGGUGAAGACGGGUUGCUGGGCUGAUACUGACGCUGAGGCGCGAAAGCUAGGGUAGCAAACGGGAUUAGUGACCCCUGUAGUCCCUGUCUCUUAUAC
RNAcentral lists this ribosomal RNA (304 nucleotides) under uncultured bacterium. Its description in RNAcentral is "partial 16S ribosomal RNA". It matches the Rfam family "Bacterial small subunit ribosomal RNA", at positions 509 to 807 of the family's 1533-position model. The record is from RNAcentral.